GAUGAACGCUGGCGGCGUGCCUAAUACAUGCAAGUCGAGCGAACAGACGAGGAGCUUGCUCCUCUGACGUUAGCGGCGGACGGGUGAGUAACACGUGGAUAACCUACCUAUAAGACUGGGAUAACUUCGGGAAACCGGAGCUAAUACCGGAUAAUAUAUUGAACCGCAUGGUUCAAUAGUGAAAGACGGUUUUGCUGUCCCUUAUAGAUGGAUCCGCGCCGCAUUAGCUAGUUGGUAAGGUAACGGCUUACCAAGGCAACGAUGCGUAGCCGACCUGAGAGGGUGAUCGGCCACACUGGAACUGAGACACGGUCCAGACUCCUACGGGAGGCAGCAGUAGGGAAUCUUCCGCAAUGGGCGAAAGCCUGACGGAGCAACGCCGCGUGAGUGAUGAAGGUCUUCGGAUCGUAAAACGCUGUUAUUAGGGAAGAACAAAUGUGUAAGUAACUAUGCACGUCUUGACGGUACCGAAUCAGAAAGCCACGGCUAACUACGUG
Molecule: ribosomal RNA, 497 nt
Filed under: uncultured bacterium
Lineage: Bacteria
Description: partial 16S ribosomal RNA
Rfam family: Bacterial small subunit ribosomal RNA
Source: RNAcentral